CGCCUCAGGGCAGGGCGGGCCGGGUUCCCGCCCCACGGCCUAGGGCGCUGCAUCCGCAGUGAGAACCGCAGCUCCCUUUCCAAACGUUCCGUGUCUGAGGGAGCGACUGCGGAGGCUCUGGACCAGCCGCCGUGCGUAGGAAGCUUCCUCAGCUGGCUGAGCGCUGAGCGGGGAGAUUCGAGGAUGUUUCUGGGGAGAAAUCCCAGCACGGGCUCAGAGGAAGUGGAGAUUCCCUUCAGUGGGACGUGAACACACUCAAUACUCAGUAUCAGGACCUUCGAGGAGAAUGAGCUGGGGACCCGCCUUCCGAGUCAUGUUGGAACCAGAACUCCAGUGGUCUGGAACUGAACCUGCAAUAUCUCAAAGAUGUGCCUGCACAAGGAAAUCACGGACUCUUGUUUUUUCAUGAUGAGAUAAAAAUAGACUACCUCAUCCUUCCUGUCUUUGUCUAGUUAAAGCCUUUAAGAUGCCCCAGUAACCUUCAGAACCAAGAAGUAAUGAUUGUCAAGUCCCUGUGACCCAGUAUAUGUUGUGCAUAACGUCCCUGGAAAUCAUUAGCUCUAGAGAAUCCACAGACUAACUAAUUUGUGUAUGUGUUCAUGGCAUAAGUUGCCCCUGGAUUGCUGCAAUUAUCUGUAGAUAGAAGGAGGGACUUAGCCUGAAAAAGGAUAGUCACCUCACUUGCAUUCAAUAUUAUUUCAACAUCAGGUUUAAGUUGUGAAAUGUCAGAGGGGGUGGUCAUUAUAUCACAUGAUAAAAAGUUUAGACUUUAUCUGGACAGUAAUGAGCUCAGUGAACAAUUUAUUUCUAAAUGAUUACCUUGGUAACCGAGUGGUAAAUGUAUUAAAGGAGAAUUUGAGAAAUGCUUAGAAGAAGAAUUCCUUCUUCUUGGAACCUGGUAACUUAGUGACUAAGUAAGGCAGAUAGGGUUAAGGGCAAGGAGGCACAGAAGUAUGAUGUCUAGGUGUUUGAUUAAGUAAACUGGGAGAGGUGGUUGUAAGACUCGGAGAGGAAUAAGUUUGGAGGCAGGAACACAGAAUUCAACUGUGGUCAUGUUAAUUUAUCUACGCUGUCUAUGAAAUACUGAGGUUAGUGUAUAUUUAGUAAUCAGCUGGAUAGUUAAGUUUGAACUCUGGGGGAAGUAAAGAUUUUUAA
Molecule: long non-coding RNA, 1155 nt
Organism: Mesoplodon densirostris (Blainville's beaked whale)
Lineage: Eukaryota; Metazoa; Chordata; Mammalia; Artiodactyla; Ziphiidae
Exons: 3
Source: RefSeq, a predicted model, not a curated record